Molecule: ribosomal RNA, 229 nt
Filed under: uncultured bacterium
Lineage: Bacteria
Description: partial 16S ribosomal RNA
Rfam family: Bacterial small subunit ribosomal RNA
Source: RNAcentral
CGGGGUGAGUAAUGUAUGGGGAUCUGCCUGAUGGCGGGGGGUAACUACUGGAAACGGUAGCUAAUACCGCAUAACGUCGCAAGACCAAAGAGGGGGACCUUCGGGCCUCUUGCCAUCGGAUGUGCCCAGAUGGGAUUAGCUAGUAGGUGGGGUAACGGCUCACCUAGGCGACGAUCCCUAGCUGGUCUGAGAGGAUGACCAGCCACACUGAAACUGAGACACGGUCCAG